RNAcentral lists this transfer RNA (69 nucleotides) under Campylostelium strictum. Its description in RNAcentral is "partial tRNA-Leu". Lineage: Eukaryota; Viridiplantae; Streptophyta; Bryopsida; Grimmiales; Ptychomitriaceae. The record is from RNAcentral.
AAACUUACUAAAUGCGAGGAAAAUCCGUUGGCUUUAUUGACCGUGAGGGUUCAAGUCCCUCUACCCCCA